AGUGAACGCUGGCGGUAGGCCUAACACAUGCAAGUCGAACGGCAGCACAGUAAGAGCUUGCUCUUACGGGUGGCGAGUGGCGGACGGGUGAGGAAUACAUCGGAAUCUACUUUUUCGUGGGGGAUAACGUAGGGAAACUUACGCUAAUACCGCAUACGACCUACGGGUGAAAGCAGGGGAUCUUCGGACCUUGCGCGAUUGAAUGAGCCGAUGUCGGAUUAGCUAGUUGGCGGGGUAAAGGCCCACCAAGGCGACGAUCCGUAGCUGGUCUGAGAGGAUGAUCAGCCACACUGGAACUGAGACACGGUCCAGACUCCUACGGGAGGCAGCAGUGGGGAAUAUUGGACAAAGGGCGCAAGCCUGAUCCAGCCAUACCGCGUGGGUAAAGAAGGCCUUCGGGUUGUAAAGCCCUUUUGGUGGGAAAGAAGAGCAGCAGGUUAAUACCCCGCUGUUCUGACGGUACCCAAAGAAUAAGCACCGGCUAACUUCGUG
This 492-nucleotide ribosomal RNA is filed under the name uncultured bacterium. RNAcentral describes it as "partial 16S ribosomal RNA". It matches the Rfam family "Bacterial small subunit ribosomal RNA", at positions 29 to 507 of the family's 1533-position model. The record is from RNAcentral.